UUCUAAAAUUUGCUUAUAUUUAUUUUAUUACUGAAAUUGUACAAAAUUUUAUUAAAAUAUUUUUAUAAAUAAUUAAAUUUUAAAAAUUAACAUAAAAUAAUACUUAAAAUUUUUGGUGUUACGGCCAGAGAAAAGGGUUUAACUACCUCCCACUAUUUUAUAGAAGAAUCUGCAAUUAAUUUAAUAAUAACUCAGGGAUCGUUCGCAAAUCACCUCACAUAUUUAAGCCUAGCGUGGUUUCGGAUUUUGUGACACUUUGGGGAGCUUUUUUAUUUUUAGUAACAGGUUUUUUUAAAUUUUGGGGCCCUAAUGACUUUUUUAGUGUAAACGCUGUAUACACUGGUUUGAUAAUGGCUCUCUGAAAUGCCAGUCCUGGCUAGCCGUAAAACGAGUAUUGCUGAGCAGCGCAAGAGUUAUUGCCGAAGCGUAACAUCAGACAUCUGCCCGAGAAAAAAAAACCCGCUAAUACUACUAGGAAUAUGUUUAACUUCCUGCUAAUCCUGUUAAGUUCCUGCUAAUACGGCUAAUCCUGUUCCAUCUCAAACCAUGUACAAUCAAUCAGCUUCAGAUUAUAAUAGCUUUGAAACAAUGAUAAUGAAAGUUUUUUCAUCGUUCUAAAUUUAUACUACAGUUAUGGUCGUAAAAGAUUAAGAAAAAUCUUAUGGGUGCAAUUAUUCCACUGACACCUGCGAAAAAUACCAAAAGAACUGACCAUUGCUGUUUAUUGUAUUUUUUUAAAUGUUUUAGUUAAACAAUCUAACACUUAA
Non-coding RNA from Hydra vulgaris (swiftwater hydra), 767 nucleotides. NCBI's taxonomy places the organism in Eukaryota, Metazoa, Cnidaria, Hydrozoa, Anthoathecata, Hydridae. The record is from RefSeq and is a predicted model, not a curated record.